Molecule: ribosomal RNA, 253 nt
Filed under: uncultured bacterium
Lineage: Bacteria
Description: partial 16S ribosomal RNA
Rfam family: Bacterial small subunit ribosomal RNA
Source: RNAcentral
UACGGGGGGGGCAAGCGUUGUUCGGAAUUACUGGGCGUAAAGGGCGCGUAGGCGGUUCGCUAAGUUGGAUGUGAAAACUCUGGGCUUAACCCAGAGCCUGCAUCCAAAACUGGCAAACUUGAGUACUGGAGGGGAAAGCGGAAUUCCUGGUGUAGCGGUGAAAUGCGCAGAUAUCAGGAAGAACACCCGUGGCGAAGGCGGCUCUCUGGAACGCAACUGACGCUGAGACGCGAAAGCGUGGGGAGCAAACAGG